Molecule: long non-coding RNA, 741 nt
Organism: Mus caroli (Ryukyu mouse)
Lineage: Eukaryota; Metazoa; Chordata; Mammalia; Rodentia; Muridae
Source: RefSeq, a predicted model, not a curated record
GAGGGAGAGGGAUUGCCUCUUUUGAGUAAGCUGGCUGGCCCACUCCCCAGGAAGAACAUCAGAUGGACCACAUGUUCUUAGCGCCCAGUGCCACCCACGUACUUUUCAAGGAGCCUUCUUCCUCAAGGGUUGGAUCCAGUAGCCUAGAGGCUGGACUUUCUUUGAGAUCUCUAGGAUCCUUUUGCCUCCAGGCAAACUACCUUAAUCCAAUCCACCAUCUUCACUGCUAAUGCAGCCGACCGAGAGCGCCCCCUCUAGGAGGACUCGAGGAACAGCAGCCAGUACAAAGCAGGAGCAGCCUUCAUCCAGAUGUUCACUAAAUGUGCUCAAGGGUCACACCUCCAGACACAAUGGGACUGUAGGGUCAGAGGACUGCCUGGGGGAUUCAGGCAGAGUUAAUAAAGUUGAUCUGGAAGGCAGGGGCAUGGAAGAGAAGAGAGCAAGGUCAUGCCUGCCUCUGGGAAAAGUAGUAUCUGUGUGAUUCACACGAUGCUUUUGGACACCCCAAAGCCUCCAACCAUUCCCAGCUUAACCUGGGACCUCGGCUUGACUUUGUCAGACCCUACAAAACACCAUCGUUUAGUCCUCUCUGUAAUUCUAGCCCUGACUCAGCCAGGCAAUCUGAACCUUAGUCACUAGUAUGGUGUCCAAGAUAACAUGCACUGGUUGCACAUGCCAAAUCACAUUUUAAAUGCUCAACAGCCAUGUGUGGCUAGUGACUACCAUGUUGGAAAAUACAGA